Molecule: long non-coding RNA, 8340 nt
Filed under: Citrus sinensis (sweet orange)
Lineage: Eukaryota; Viridiplantae; Streptophyta; Magnoliopsida; Sapindales; Rutaceae
Description: long non-coding RNA (CSIN_LNC005130)
Source: RNAcentral
CGGAGGGAACGUAGUGCAUGAAGUGGCGGCACGUGCAGGUGACGCGGACUUGAGCCCGUUGCGUGUGGCCGGAGCGAUUCCGAUUCAUCCGGGUUUCCUCCGGCAGGAAAGGAGCAAGUCGGAGUUGGAAAACCCGCAGUCACCUCUUCUGACUCUGGACAUGGUGGACAAGUUCUUGAGCUUUGCCCUGCCGUUGAACAGCGACAAGGGGCAUCCGUACACCUGUCCAAUGGGGCCGGCUGCGUCGCCGAUCGACGGUCUGAAGCUGCCUCCGUUUCUGCUGUGCGUGGCGGGUAAUGACUUGAUUAAGGACACUGAGAUGGAAUAUUAUGAAGCCAUGAAAAAGGCUGGAAAGGAUGUGGAGUUGUUGGUGAAUCCUGGAAUGGGUCACAGUUUUUAUCUCGACAAGAUUGCAGUCGAUAUGGACCCAAACACUGCUGCUCAAACUUGUAGUCUUUUUCAAGGAAUAGCGGAGUUUAUGAGGAAGCACUGAUCAAUUAUCAAUUUUUUAAUCCAUAAAUAGUUGAUUAUCCGAUUAAUGGUGGGGUUUUUCUUAAGUUACAUUUGUCGUAACUUAACAACCCAAUUAAAAUAUACAAAAAUAAGUAACAUUGCAAGCGUGUGAUUUUUACAUUGUUUUAGUUGUGCUCCAAGUUAUUACAAUAAAUGGAACUUAACAAAACCCUAAUGGUGGAUGGAUGUGGUCCUGUAUGACUUGGCAAUGUUGUUUUAAUAGUAGUUUAGUGUAGUUGUGCUCGCUAUUAUAUUAUUUUAUAAAAUAGGGACAUGCUUUGAAGUAACUUUCAUGUGGAAUGUGCUGUGUAAAAUAUGUAUAAUAUGUGUGUACUAGCAGCUUGGAAGUUUUUAAAUUGUUACUCUAAUAACAUUUUCGGAAUUCGAUUUAUGACUUGCAAGUGAGACAAUUUCAUUUUGAGGUUGUGGUGUGAUUUCAGCGAAUUGAGGACCGGAUAGUGUAAUGGUGAAAUUGAGUUAAUUUCACGAUACUCCUUCAUAUGUUGACAUCUGUAUAUACUUUUAUUUAUCACAAAUUAUUUUCAAAAUUACCUUUAUUUACUAUUAAAAAAUAUGUAAUCAAUUAAUAGUAAAUGAGGGUAUGUUGAACUUUUCAAUAGUUUGAAGAAAAAAAUUAAAUAUGUAGAAAGAAUAAACUAAAAUUUACCCAACGAAUUAUUUAGAAAAAAAUUGAUUAUCGUAUUUGAUGAGUGCUACAUUAUUGUCAUUUUGAAAAAAAUUAAUGGUUUGUUUACUUUGCAGCAAUCAGAGCAAACUAUAAUCAAAAUAAUGAAUGAAAAUCAAAAUAAAUUAUUUACUUUAUCUACAAGAAUUGGAUCCGAAUGAGUUAUAUUCCCACUGGUAUGUUUAUUUUAUGAGUAAUGAUACAGCCACAAACUAUUGUACAAACUUAUUUUGUACAAACUGACGUGUCACUAAUUCAUUGGUUGAAUGAAAAUAUAAAAUAAUGAAAACAAAUCAUGUGGGCCAAGUGAUAUUUAAUUCAACCAAUCUUAUCAUGCCACAUAAGUUUGUACAAAAUAAGUUUGUACAAGAGUUUGUGGCUAUAUCAUUACUCUUAUUUUAUUAUAUAUUUAGAAUGGAUUAUUAUAAGUUAUUAAAAAGUUUUUAACUAAAUUUAUGUAUUAGUUCACUCACAAAAUAAUAAAUAAAUAUUUUUCAAUGAAAUAUGUUGUAUGCAACAAUAGUAGUAGUAGUAGUAAUUAUUAUUAUUAUUACUACUACUAUUAUUGCAGAAAAUAUUACUGUAGCGAUACAUACAUACAGUCAUACACACACACACACACACACACAUAUAUAUAUAUAUAUAUAUAUUUAUAUAGAGGAGUAUUAAUAUUUUUUUUUGUUUUUGUUAGAGGUAAUAAAAUCACUCCAGAGAUUUGGAAUCUCAUUAUAGGUAUCCCAUUCGACUAGAAUUGGUUGGUCCUACCAUUUUUUUCCUCAUUCCAUGAUUCAAUAUUUACAAGUAAAUAAAAUAAGCACAAUAAAAAUGUUUCUCUAGUUUCAUUGCCAAUCUAAAAAGAAAAUACACUCUAAAGACAAACGGUAGGCUGUGGAAUGAUUGGACGGUACAUAGUUUUUGAAAAUAAAAUGGUACAGAAUUAGUUGAGUCUCAGUUGAACAGCAGAAGGAUUUGAUAAUUUUAAGAGCACCACUAGAAGGCUUUAGUAAUUUUAUUCUUAAAAUAUCAAUUUGUUUAUUUAUGUGGUAAAUACUAGAGUAAAAUAAACACACUAUUCUUCAAAAGGCUUUUCACAUAGAAAUAAUCUACUAUAAUUUUAAUCAAAUAACUAAUUCUUCUAAAAGAAAAAUAAAUAAUAAUUAUAGCACUUUUCUCUCUCCAAUAAAAAUAAUAAAAUAUAAAUUUAAAAAAGAAACAUAAUAUUGAAGAGAGAAUAAUAUUUAAUUGAAGAGAGAAACAUAUUAAAGUAUCUUAUUUGAACCAUUUUUUAUUUGAAUAAUUUUUUAUUUAAAGAGAGAGAAACCUUUUUUAUUUAAAAAAUAAUAAUUAAAAUAUUUUUUAAAAUUUUAAAUAUUGAUGUGACUUUUUAAAUAAGAAUUAUAAUUUUAUUUCAGUAGUCUUUAUGUUCUCAAAGUCAUCAAACCGUAUGGACCGCAAGAAAGUGCAUGCAUUCAUUGAAGCGUUGAGGAAAGGCUGCUAAUCAAUGUAUAUGAUGGAAUAGAAAAACUUCUACGGAUUGGGUGUAUUAUGUCAACGUGAUAAGGGAUGGAGGUAAAAUGAUUUUACUGGGGUCAGCUGUCUCCACUUAAUUAAAAAAAAAAAAAAAACACUCAACUUUCUAUUUUAUGUUUAAGUAUUGCCCCUGUAAUAUUUAUUAAUCUGCCCCAUUGAUUUUAUUGUUCUGCCCCUUUGCCUUUUAAAGUUAUUUUAACAACUCAAUAAUCUGAAAUUGAAAUCCCAAUGACGCUAAUCCUUAUGUAUUGAUAAGAAAGAUAUUUUGGAUAGCAUUGAUAACGAAACUACUAAACAACAUUAUUAACUCAUGAAAAUGCAAGCGGAUAUGUGCCUAUAUGACUUUGGCAAUUCAGUGUUGAUUUGCUAAUAAUUAGUGUAAUUGUGCUCAAAGUUACUUAUUAUUUUAUUAAAUAAGGACAUCCGGGUUGGAGUAUGUAAUUUUCACGUGGAAUGUGCUGUGUAACAUAUAUAUAAUAUGUGUGUACCAGCAGCUAGGAAGUUAAUGUGACUCCAAUAACGUUGUAGGAAUUGGAUUUAUGAUUUGCAAGUGAGACAAUUUCAUUGUGCGGUUGUGGUGUGAUUUCAGCAAAUUGACAACUGGAUAGUGUAAUAGACAAUUAGAUUUAAUUUUACCUUACUCUUUUUUACGUUGACAUACUUUAAUUUAUUUCCAAAUUAUUUUCGAAGUCACCCUUUUUUACUAUUAAAAACAAAAAUUUCAUUAAACACAACUUUCAUUUACUCUGAUCUAUUGAAUCAUAAAUGAAGAUGUGCCGAUGUUUUCAAUAGUCUAAGAAAAAAACUAAAUAUGUGAAAAGAGUAAACUAAAAUCUAUCCAAUAAAUUAUUUAAAAAAUUAUUAUUGUAUUUUAUGAGUGUUACAUGCAUCGCUGUGACUUGUACUUUUAGAUUUUUUUUCUUAUUUAAUAAGUUGUUGAGGUAUAUAACUUUACACCUAAUUUUUAAAUGUCAUUAUAUAUGGCAUCAAGCUGGAAUAUUAGAUGUGAUUAUAUAUAUACAUAUACAUACGUACAUACAUACAUACAUACAUACAUACAUACGUGUAUGUAUGUAUGUGUAACAACUAUCUAAUGAAGAUAUCAUCAUUUCAUAAAGUAAGGAUAUCGGUAACAGACAAAAAAAAUAUAUAUAUAAUUUUCAAUGUAUUGAAAUAUACAUUUUAGUGGUAUCUUAAUUUUGUUAAAGUGCCCUAUAUGUAUAGGGGGCAUAAAUAAAAUUUAUGUGUUUUAUUAUAAUAAUAAAGUCACUCCAAGACAGAAUCUCAUUUCCAAUCCUCAUGACUCAUGAGAGUGGGAUUUUCAUUCUUCAUUUCUAAAUUUGAUUGGUCCCAUCAUUUUUAUUCUUAUUUCUUGAUUUCAUUAUUACAAGUAAAUACACACAAUAGAAAUAAAAGGAUUAUUAUCAUUUUACUAUUUUAAAAAUUGUAAAAUAUCAAAUGACUACAAAUAGUAUUAUCCUAUAUUAUUUUACUAUCAUAACUUUGUAAAAUUUUUUAUUUUAUUACUUAUUUAUUAAGAACAUUAGUUGACUAGUUAGUUGACUAAUAAAAUAUCAAUUUUAUCUGUUAUGGUAAAAUAUAAAAAUAGAGGUAUCAAAUAAUAGACAUAAAAUUAGUGUUACACCCUUAAAUUGUUAAAAAAUAAUUUUAACCAUGAAUUUUAUAAAUAAUAAUAAAUUUAUUAUAAAAAUAGUGAAUUGACAAAAAUAUCCCUGGAUUGUUUAGUUAAAAAAGGGGAUAAUCUAUUCUUAAAAAACACUUAAAAUUGGAAAUGUUAAUUGUGUAGAUAAGCUUUAAUUUUUUUUAGAAUAAAUUAUUUUUAGAAAAAUAUUUAGGAUAUUCUUGUCAGCUCGCUACUUUUAUAGUUAUAAUUAAUUCAGGGUUAUUCAUAAAUUUAUGGUUAAAACCGUUAUUUAACAAUUUAAGAGUAUAACAUAAUUUUUUAUCUAUUAUGUGAUACCUCUAUUUAUGUAUUUUUAUCAUAAAUGAUAAAAUUGAUAUUUUACUAGUCAACUAACUAGUCAGUUAAUGAUUUUAAUAAAAAAGUAGUAAAAUGAAAGAUUUUACAAAGUUAGAGUAAUAAAAUAAGGAAACAAUUUUUUUUUAUAGUUAUUUGAUAUUAUACAAAUUUUGAAAUAGUGAAACGAUAGUAAUGGUAGAAAUAAUUCUUUAUUUUUAUUUUCUAAUCCAAGAAGAGAACACACCCUCAACAUGAACGCCAGGCUGUGGAUCUACUGUAUGAUACGGAAUUAAUUGGCUCUCAACCGACCAUGAUUUGAUACCCUUAAAGGCAUCAAACUGUGUGGCCCGCAAGAAAUUGCCCACAGUUAUAUUUAUUAAAACGUGCCUACAGGCUACAAGCCUGCAAAAGCACUCAUUCAUGCAUUCAAACGACAGCGGUUUGGUCUGUGAUUAACAAGUGGUCAAGAAAACUUUCCUUGAAGUGUUGAGGAAACGCUAUCAAUCAACGUACAUGGGGGAAUAGAAAAACUUCAGCGGGUUGAGUGUGCCAUGUCAGCAUGAUUAGGAACGAAGAUAUAAUACUGGUAUUGGGUCGGCUAUCCCUUAUUUAAUUAAAAGGAAAUAGUUAAUUUUGUAUUUUACGUUUAAGUAUUGCUUUUGUAAUUUUUAUUACUCUGCCUCUUUGAUUUCAUUGUUCUGUCUCUUUGUCCUUAAAAUUAUUUGAACAACUCAAUCAUUUGAAAAUAAAAGCCCAAUGGCUCUAAUCCAUAUAUAUUGAGAAAGAUUUUUUGGACAAUAUUGAUAACAAAUCUAUUGAACGACGUUAUUAACUCGUGAAAAUGCGACAUUGACAGUUGUAAAUGAUGAUGACAGAGUUAUUUUUAUGAAUGAAAGAUAUAACUUUUGUAUUUAUUAUUAUUUUUUAAAGGUGCCCCUAUAGAGUAAAUUUUUGGUUCCUUCGCUAAGUAUAAUCAUAUACAAGAUAUCCUCAGUCGAUAUAGGAUGAUUUUUUCAACACCCCAUCACGGUAUUGUCUCAAACUUGUAUUAUUAGAAGUAGGGGUGGGCAAAAUCGGGGUCGGGUCGGGUUCGGAUCAACCCGAUUCGGUUUCGGGUUGUUCGGGUUGGGCAAACAUUGAUCCAAAUGCAACCCUAACUUACAAUCAGACCCGAUCCGAUCCGAUAUAUGUUUGGAUCAGGUCAAAAAAUCAGGUUGAGUUCGAGUCUUGGAGCAAUAGAAUGGAGAUCAGGUUCGGGUCUUGGAGCAGCAGAAUGCACAUCGGGUUCGGAUCUGCAGCAAAUCGGUGGCACUUGGCACUUGGUAGCAGAUCAGCGGCCAGGGACGCGAAGCAGCAGAUGGGAUGACGCGCACUCGCGUAGUAGCAAAUCGGGAAUCGAUUGGGUGCGCAGCAGGCAGCAGCAAUCGCAGACCAGCGAACUCGCAGCAGCACUGAGUAGUGAGCACAUGGGCGGAUUCGCAACAGAUCGGACGCUUUCUUGAGGUGUGGACUCCAUUGGUGACUUGUCGUUGGCCGUUGGGUGUGAUUGACCGUGGUCUGUGGAUGUGUUUUGUGCGCAGCAGCAGACUUGUGUUUGUGUGUGUGUAUUGUAAAUGAACCUGUGAUUUGUCUUGUUUGUGUCCGUGUGACUGUGUGUGGCGUGCGUGUAUGUGUUCAAUUUUUUUUUCUUUCAAGAAACUCGAUCGGGUUUUCAGAUCGAAUCGGGUACAGCCUGAUCCGAUCACAACUCGAUCGGGUUUCACCAUUUUCAUCCAAUCGGGUUGUAAAAGCAACCCGAUCCGAUCCGAACUUGAAAUUUUUCGAGUUGGGUUGGAUCAGGUUGGGUAAUUUGCCUACCCCUAAUUAGAAGGUUUGUAUGACCAUUUUUUUAACACAAGCAAGAGUUUAUGUGCUUAGAAGAAGGGUUUGUAUCAUCAUCUUUUAACACAAAAAGAAGUAUGUGUUUAUCUUAAAAAGGGUCGAAAAUACUAAUUGUCUUAUGCCUUCGAGGCACAUGGUGUUAAACGAUUUUUAAAAAAAUAGCUCUAAAGUUGAAUAAGUUUUGAAGUCUUAGCUAUUUCAUAAAUUACAAAACAACAAAGUUUGAAAGUUUAGUAACUUUUUAUAUUAUUAUUAUCCUUUCACCAUACCAACUAUGUCAAAAUAAUAAAUCACUAUACGAAUUAUUGAAGUGUAAUAUUUCAUUACAUUAUUAAAAAGUAAUUGUUUACUACUUUUCCGUUAAUUCCAUUAGUUGACUUGUAAAAUACUAAUUUUAUCUUUAAUUAAUAACUUCUACGAAAAUAAAUAAAUAAAUAUAUUAAAAGAAAGAAUUAUUGAUAAUAUCCAAAAUAUCCCCAAAAGGUCAAUAAUUAUUUUAAUUGUAUAAUUGAAUAAAAAUUGUUAGGUAAAAAGACAAAUUUACGCUUCAUAUUUUAGGUUAUAUUACAAUUUUGGGUUAAAUUUGUUGUAAGGAUAGAUUUGCCCCUUUGAUAUCAUCAUUUAACUAACGGCAUUAAUGUAAACUUAGUGAAUUUCUAUAGUGAAUAUAGUGAAAUAUUAUACUUCAAUAAUUCGUGUGGUAGUCUGUUAUUUCAAUAUAGUUGGCAUAGUUGAAGAAUAAUGACCUUUUCUUUUUAACAUUGAUAUUUAUAAUAAAAUAACUAACAGGCUAAAUAUAUUAUUUAUAGAUAGUUCUACUCCUAUUAUAUUUUUAUGUGGGCAAUAUAUUAUACCCACUUGUUAAAUUAUUUAUUUUUUAAAAGCACAACAAUAUAGCGACAGAAAGAAAUAAGAGACACAAUAAUGUAGAGAGGAAUUGUAUUCAAUCUCAAGUAUGUACAAAUAAGGAGCAAAGACCUCCUUUUAUAAUAAUACCACCACAAAAUGGUAAGUAAUACGUUAUAAAUAUAAAGGAUAAUAAUUCUUAAAUUAGGUAGACAAUUAAUGUUAUAAGAAAGCUAAAAAUUGCUAAUAGGUAGAUAAAAAGAUUUCUUUGAUGAAUAUCGACAUAAGCUAUUAUUAUGAAAUAAUAAAGUUACUAUUAUUGUUGGGUGAAAAUAAAGCCAAAGUAGGCUAGAACAUCCCUCCGUUUGUAGGGGAUGUUGUGCAAAUGUUAUUGUAUUCGCAAGCACACGAAUCUAUUAUAGAAUAGAUUUAUGCUGAUGAGUAUCCAUCUAAUUAAGAGGUGAUUUCUUUAUUUUAAGGAUUCAAAAUAAAAUGGAGAGAAUGAAUUAUAGAUGAAACAAUGCAAAUGAAGUGUUUGAGUUUCUGGAUUCACACUCAACAUUUCAUCAUGGACUCAAUAUUUCCUUAUAGUUCCAAUUAAUUCAUGAGGGAGUAUUUCCACUCCUCAUAAUUCUCAAUCUAAUAAAUAUGGUAUUAAGUGCUUAGUGUGCCAAAGCGUAAUGAUUUUUCACUAAGUGUGGUGUCAAGAACACGUCGUGCUAAAUGAUAAUAAUCAUUCUGUCGACAACAUGACAAGACCGUCAACUAAAUAGCUUAGAUGCACUCUCUGUUGAUAGAGUCAAGACGACUCACAAAUACUAGAGGGAAAUUUUCUCUCUAAUAAAUAUGUUGCUAAGUGCUCAUCGUGCCAGACAGUAACAAUCUUUCACUAUGAAGUCGAUAU